AACGAACGCUGGCGGCGUGCCUAACACAUGCAAGUCGAACGAGAAAGGGGCUUCGGCUCCGAGUAAAGUGGCGCACGGGUGAGUAACACGUGGGUAACCUGCCUCUCAGAUUGGGAUAACUCGUCGAAAGAUGAGCUAAUACCGCAUAAGACCACAGUUCCCGCGGGAACAGGGGUCAAAGGUAGCCUCUGCUUGCAAGCUAUCACUUAGAGAUGGGCCUGCGCACCAUUAGCUAGUUGGUAGGGUAACGGCCUACCAAGGCAAAGAUGGUUAGCUGGUCGGAGAGGAUGAUCAGCCACACUGGAACUGAGACACGGUCCAGACUCCUACGGGAGGCAGCAGUGGGGAAUAUUGCGCAAUGGGCGAAAGCUUGACGCAGCAACGCCGCGGGAGGGAUGAAGGCCGUCGGGUCGUAAAGCUCUGUCGGGAGGAACGAAUGCUCCUGAGGUUAACAGCCUCGGGAGGUGACGGUACCUUCAAAGGAAGCACCGGCUAACUCUGUG
RNAcentral lists this ribosomal RNA (503 nucleotides) under uncultured bacterium. RNAcentral describes it as "partial 16S ribosomal RNA". It matches the Rfam family "Bacterial small subunit ribosomal RNA", at positions 29 to 507 of the family's 1533-position model. The record is from RNAcentral.